RNAcentral lists this ribosomal RNA (253 nucleotides) under uncultured bacterium. RNAcentral's name for it is "partial 16S ribosomal RNA". It matches the Rfam family "Bacterial small subunit ribosomal RNA", at positions 524 to 776 of the family's 1533-position model. The record is from RNAcentral.
UACGAAGGGGGCUAGCGUUGUUCGGAAUUACUGGGCGUAAAGCGCACGUAGGCGGAUUUGUAAGUCAGGGGUGAAAUCCCGGGGCUCAACCUCGGAACUGCCUUUGAUACUGCAAAUCUCGAGUCCGAUAGAGGUGAGUGGAAUUCCUAGUGUAGAGGUGAAAUGCGUAGAUAUUAGGAAGAACACCAGUGGCGAAGGCGGCUCACUGGAUCGGUACUGACGCUGAGGUGCGAAAGCGUGGGGAGCAAACAGG